Long non-coding RNA from Peromyscus californicus insignis, 2009 nucleotides. RefSeq lists it as uncharacterized. The transcript is spliced from 3 exons. The record is from RefSeq and is a predicted model, not a curated record. Lineage: Eukaryota; Metazoa; Chordata; Mammalia; Rodentia; Cricetidae.
UGCAGAGGGGCUUACUUCAUUGGCUAUGUGUCUGAAAUGACAAUCUAGCUGCCUCUGUUGAGUGGAAGUUUUGCUGUUUCUCAGACUUGGUGCAUUUCAGAUGAGAAAUGAAGGUUUGUAGGUCAGUCCUUUGAGUGUUCAGUGUUAAUUUUUGAUUGGAGACACGGAGUUGAUUCCAAUUCAGUGGUAAGUGGGAAAGCCUGCAGAUGUGGCUCUGGACUUGGUCCAAGCAUAGAAGGGCGGUGACUGAUAGAGCAGAUGCGUGUGACUCCCGACUGGGCCUGAGCAAGAAGGGGUAGUGUGGAGCAGAGUCACCAUGAGAGCAAGUGUGGGUGCAAUCUGGGAGUGGAGGGACGCAGGCAAGGGUCUGGAAUGACUGUCACAGGGUGUGUGCACAGAGGUUGGACUCCUCGUUGGGCCUGGGUAUGGAGUUUGCAAGUGAAAAAGAUCUAGGGAAUUCACCCAGUGGGCGCAUAUAGUGACCCAACUGAGCAUAAGGGGCAGUGUGGGAGGAGGUCUGGGUGUGGCAGGGUGGUGUGGAUGGCGUGGAUGGGAGUUUGGAGCAAUUACUCAGUCAGUACACAUGUAGAUGGUGGAUGGGUCUGGGUCUGUUGUAAUAUUUUAUCCAAAAAGUAGUUCAGACUCAUAAUGGGGGUGGUGGCAAAAAGACCAUCUGACAAGCUAAUGAUACCAUUCACCCAUGUUAAUAAGGGGAAUAUCAGAUUCUUCCCACACUGCCCCAGGCCAUAAUACACAAAUGCAGGAGUCCUUGUGCAUAACUAUUUAUGGAAUGUGGACCAUAGUGGUAGCCUAUUAAUGGUGAUACUGUCUUUAGCUAACUACCCUCUUUUGGGGGGGGGGAAAUUAAGUUGUUUCUGAAUGUUUGCACUGUUAAAGAGCUGUCUGGAGAUUAUCUCUGUAGCUAAGUCUUAGCCUACAUAUUUAAGAGUGCGUUAGGAUAAAUUCCCAGAGGAAGACUUUUUGGGUGAUGGGUAAUUCACGCUGUCACCAAUAGUGACAGUGCCCUGAGCCAGGUGACAAGUUUUAAUUGAGCAUCACACCAGGAAGCUGUAAUUUUGUCUUGGCACUGUCAUCACGGCUCACAACAUUUGGUGAACUCUGUGUUUGGUCAUCCCAGCUGUGACUCACACAGGAAAAUAAACCGUCAUCUCUCGUGCUGCCUUUGAUCUUUGACUCGGCUGGAAAACCUAAUUUACCAUGAAAGCUACCGUGGAGGAUGCUCACGCCAACGUGUCAGCAGCUCCAGGGAGGAGAAUGAAGCCUGGCACGGCCCGCAGUGGUGACAAUCAGAGAAAUGUUCACUGUCCCCGGAGGCCAGCUCUUCGUGUGUGUGUCCUGACGGGAUUCUCAAAAAGAACAGAACCAUUUAGUGCCAUAAAGGCCAUCCAGUAGGGAUGAAACUUCCAGAUACUUACAGGUUCCUGGGGAAAGUUCUGCUACUGUAUCAAGCAAUCUGGUCUGAUGAACUAACCAUCUCCGGAGCCCAUUUUGACUCCACCCAUCUUUCGAGCGUAUUUUGCAGAUUCACUCACUCUUCCCUCCUGACCUCCAGAGAAACAGCAGAUGCCAUGGCUUCUGUUCUCCUGAUUUGGCAUGCCAUUUCCCCCAAGCUCCUGGAACAUCACUGCAGCACCCUGCCUUCUCAGUUCCAUCAAGGAACAUACACCUAAGGCUCCCGCCAUGUGCGACUCCUGGUUUCCCCUCCCCAGUUCACCCCUUGUCAGCAUGAAGCAGACUCGAGAAUUCAGCGCCCUUGUUCCCCGACUUGCUAUCCACAACUCACCUUUUUAUAUAAUCAGUGUUAGUUUUUUGACCUGCUCCUUGGAAACCCACCCCUUGGGGACCCUUCUAGCAUCCCGAUGUAAAGUCCCCAUUAAAAAAGAGAACUCGGGAGGCAGAGCCAGGCGGAUCUCUGUGAGUUCGAGGCCAGCCUGGUCUCCAAAGCGAGUUCCAGGAAAGGCGCAAAGCUACACAGAGAAACCCUGUCU